GAACGCUAGCGGCAGGCUUAACACAUGCAAGUCGAGGGGUAGGAGCAGCUUGCUGCUUUGAGACCGGCGCACGGGUGCGUAACGCGUAUACAAUCUACCUUUACAGAGGGAUAGCCCAGAGAAAUUUGGAUUAAUACCUCAUAGUAUUUCGAAUGGCAUCAUUUGAUUAUUAAAGUUCCAACGGUAAAAGAUGAGUAUGCGUCCCAUUAGCUAGAUGGUAAGGUAACGGCUUACCAUGGCAACGAUGGGUAGGGGUCCUGAGAGGGAGAUCCCCCACACUGGUACUGAGACACGGACCAGACUCCUACGGGAGGCAGCAGUGAGGAAUAUUGGACAAUGGGCGCAAGCCUGAUCCAGCCAUGCCGCGUGCAGGAAGACGGUCCUAUGGAUUGUAAACUGCUUUUAUACAGGAAGAAACACCUCUACGUGUAGAGACUUGACGGUACUGUAUGAAUAAGCAUCGGCUAACUCCGUG
Molecule: ribosomal RNA, 475 nt
Filed under: uncultured bacterium
Lineage: Bacteria
Description: bacterial SSU rRNA
Rfam family: Bacterial small subunit ribosomal RNA
Source: RNAcentral